This 82-nucleotide transfer RNA is filed under the name Schistocephalus solidus. It matches the Rfam family "tRNA". From Rfam's summary of the family: Transfer RNA (tRNA) molecules are approximately 80 nucleotides in length. Their secondary structure includes four short double-helical elements and three loops (D, anti-codon, and T loops). The record is from Rfam by way of RNAcentral. Lineage: Eukaryota; Metazoa; Platyhelminthes; Cestoda; Diphyllobothriidea; Diphyllobothriidae.
GGCCUCGUAGCUCAGUUGGUUAGAGUGUUGUUGUCCUAAAGCCUUACCCUCGCUGAUGUGGGUUCAAAUCCAACCGAGGCCG